CUACGGGCCGCUGCAGUGGGGAAUAUUGGACAAUGGGGGCAACCCUGAUCCAGCAAUGCCGCGUGUGUGAAGAAGGCCUGCGGGUUGUAAAGCACUUUCAAUAGGGAGGAAAAGCUUUGGGUUAAUACCCCGAAGUCUUGACGUUACCUUUAGAAGAAGCACCGGCUAACUCUGUGCCAGCAGCCGCGGUAAUACAGAGGGUGCGAGCGUUAAUCGGAAUUACUGGGCGUAAAGCGCGCGUAGGCGGUUUGAUAAGUCAGAUGUGAAAGCCCCGGGCUUAACCUGGGAACUGCAUUUGAUACUGUCAAACUAGAGUAUGGUAGAGGGUAGUAGAAUUCCUGGUGUAGCGGUGAAAUGCGUAGAUAUCAGGAGGAAUACCAGUGGCGAAGGCGGCUACCUGGACCAAUACUGACGCUGAGGUGCGAAAGCGUGGGGAGCAAACAGGACUAGAUACCCCCGUAGUC
RNAcentral lists this ribosomal RNA (464 nucleotides) under uncultured bacterium. RNAcentral's name for it is "partial 16S ribosomal RNA". It matches the Rfam family "Bacterial small subunit ribosomal RNA", at positions 339 to 795 of the family's 1533-position model. The record is from RNAcentral.